AUUAAUUACCACGCCUACAUUUAAAAUGACUACUGAUUGCGAGCGAGACUGAUUCAGUGAUUGUCUCCCUUCUCUUGCUUCUCUUCUCAAAAUGGAAGGCUCUGAUGGCAGCACUGGGAGUAUCGGGUCAUCCUCAAAAUGUUCAUUGUCACCUCCUUUAGAGUCGAAAGACCUUCCUUGUACUAGACGAGCCAUGUUUCUCAAAAUACAAUGUAUAUAGAUCUAAAUUUUUCCAAAGUAUUUCAAACACAACAACUUUGCAAGUUUUGUACAUCAGCUUAAUGAGACAUAUUCUUACAAUGAUCCAAUCACUGAACUGAUUGACUGUCUCUUUGUUAAGUAUGACUUCAAUGCAGCACAAGACAGACUGAACGAGGAU
Long non-coding RNA from Amphimedon queenslandica, 379 nucleotides. RefSeq lists it as uncharacterized. The record is from RefSeq and is a predicted model, not a curated record. The transcript is spliced from 3 exons. Lineage: Eukaryota; Metazoa; Porifera; Demospongiae; Haplosclerida; Niphatidae.